This 492-nucleotide ribosomal RNA is filed under the name uncultured bacterium. RNAcentral describes it as "partial 16S ribosomal RNA". It matches the Rfam family "Bacterial small subunit ribosomal RNA", at positions 29 to 507 of the family's 1533-position model. The record is from RNAcentral.
AGUGAACGCUGGCGGUAGGCCUAACACAUGCAAGUCGAACGGCAGCACAGUAAGAGCUUGCCCUUACGGGUGGCGAGUGGCGGACGGGUGAGGAAUACAUCGGAAUCUACUUUUUCGUGGGGGAUAACGUAGGGAAACUUACGCUAAUACCGCAUACGACCUACGGGUGAAAGCAGGGGAUCUUUGGACCUUGCGCGAUUGAAUUAGCCGAUGUCGGAUUAGCUAGUGGGCGGGGUAAAGGCCCACCAAGGCGACGCUCCGUAGCUGGUCUGAGAGGAUGAUCAGCCACACUGGAACUGGGACACGGUCCAGACGCCUACGGGAGGCAGCAGUGGGGAAUAGUGGACAAUAGGCACAAGCCUGAUCCAGCCAUACCGCGUGGGUGAAGAAGGCCUUCGGGUUGGAAAGCCCUUUUGUUGGGAAAGAAAAGCAGCAGGUUAAUACCCCGCUGUUCUGACGGUACCCAAAGAAUAAGCACCGGCUAACUUCGUG